UGGGCCUCAGUUUCUUUGCCUAUAAAACGGGACGGUUGGAUUAAGGGCUUUGCCAGCUCUAAUGUUCCAUGACUAAGCACCUGGAGACUCCCCAGAUUCCAGAACUCUCUGGAAGCAAUGGCUGCUGAGGGGAAGCUGCUGCUUCUUGGCAGAGUCUCAACCAACUGAGCUACAAGGGAAGUCGAUACGGAUGGGUUUAAUAAAAUCUUGGGCAUACGUAGAUGACACUUCUAUCAAAAUGAUCAGCAGGUAUGACCAACAUACAUCAUGCUUAAAUGUCCAUUGAUGAAGACCCCCUUAAAGACUUUCCAGAGAUGUUUAACUAACAAUCCGCAUGAUGUGGAGAGAAGAUGAAUAGGUAAGAAUUUUACUUAUUCCACACUUAAAAGGAAUAUAAUUAUAUUUCUUUUAAAUAAUUGUGCAGACAAUAU
This is a long non-coding RNA of Bos indicus x Bos taurus (hybrid cattle), 431 nucleotides long. The record is from Ensembl. Lineage: Eukaryota; Metazoa; Chordata; Mammalia; Artiodactyla; Bovidae.